UUGUCCGGAUUUACUGGGUGUAAAGGGUGCGUAGGCGGCUUUGCAAGUCAGAUGUGAAAUCUAUGGGCUCAACCCAUAGCCUGCAUUUGAAACUGCAGAGCUUGAGUGAAGUAGAGGCAGGCGGAAUUCCCCGUGUAGCGGUGAAAUGCGUAGAGAUGGGGAGGAACACCAGUGGCGAAGGCGGCCUGCUGGGCUUUAACUGACGCUGAGGCACGAAAGCGUGGGUAGCAAACAGGAUGAGAUACCCGGGUAGUCCACGCUGU
This 263-nucleotide ribosomal RNA is filed under the name uncultured bacterium. RNAcentral's name for it is "partial 16S ribosomal RNA". It matches the Rfam family "Bacterial small subunit ribosomal RNA", at positions 541 to 803 of the family's 1533-position model. The record is from RNAcentral.